AUUGAACGCUGGCGGCAGGCCUAACACAUGCAAGUCGAGCGGGGUUUUCGGACCUAGCGGCGGACGGGUGAGUAAUGCGUAGGAAGCUACCCGAUAGAGGGGGAUACCAGUUGGAAACGACUGUUAAUACCGCAUAAUGUCUACGGACCAAAGUGUGGGACCUUCGGGCCACAUGCUAUCGGAUGCGCCUACGUGGGAUUAGCUAGUUGGUGAGGUAAUGGCUCACCAAGGCGACGAUCCCUAGCUGGUUUGAGAGGAUGAUCAGCCACACUGGAACUGAGACACGGUCCAGACUCCUACGGGAGGCAGCAGUGGGGAAUAUUGGACAAUGGGCGCAAGCCUGAUCCAGCCAUGCCGCGUGUGUGAAGAAGGCCUUCGGGUUGUAAAGCACUUUCAGUAAGGAGGAAGAGUUGAGUGUUAAUAGUACUCAGCUUUGACGUUACUUACAGAAGAAGCGCCGGCUAACUCUGUG
RNAcentral lists this ribosomal RNA (472 nucleotides) under uncultured bacterium. RNAcentral's name for it is "bacterial SSU rRNA". It matches the Rfam family "Bacterial small subunit ribosomal RNA", at positions 30 to 507 of the family's 1533-position model. The record is from RNAcentral.